CUAAGAAUCUUCCGCAAUGGGCGCAAGCCUGACGGAGCGACGCCGCGUGGACGAUGAAGGCCGAAAGGUUGUAAAGUCCUUUUCUCUGUGAAGAAUAAGCGGGGGAGGAAAUGCCCCUGUGAUGACGUUAGCGGAGGAAUAAGCCCCGGCUAAUUACGUGCCAGCAGCCGCGGUAAUACGUAAGGGGCGAGCGUUGUUCGGAAUUAUUGGGUGUAAAGGGCGCGUAGGCGGUCUGGCAAGUCUGGUGUUGAAGGCUACGGCUUAACUGUAGUUUGGCGCUGGAAACUGCUGGGCUUGAGUUUAGGAGGGGGAGCUGGAAUUCCAGGUGUAGGGGUGAAAUCUGUAGAUAUCUGGAAGAACACCGGUGGCGAAGGCGAGCUCCUGGCCAUAGACUGACGCUGAGGCGCGAAAGCGUGGGGAGCGAACA
This 427-nucleotide ribosomal RNA is filed under the name uncultured prokaryote. RNAcentral describes it as "bacterial SSU rRNA". It matches the Rfam family "Bacterial small subunit ribosomal RNA", at positions 355 to 774 of the family's 1533-position model. The record is from RNAcentral.